RNAcentral lists this transfer RNA (90 nucleotides) under Pseudomonas japonica. Its description in RNAcentral is "tRNA-Ser". It matches the Rfam family "tRNA". Rfam says of the family: Transfer RNA (tRNA) molecules are approximately 80 nucleotides in length. Their secondary structure includes four short double-helical elements and three loops (D, anti-codon, and T loops). RNAcentral also lists the same sequence under 7 other names. The record is from RNAcentral. Lineage: Bacteria; Pseudomonadati; Pseudomonadota; Gammaproteobacteria; Pseudomonadales; Pseudomonadaceae.
GGUGAGGUGUCCGAGUGGUUGAAGGAGCACGCCUGGAAAGUGUGUAUACAGGAAACUGUAUCAAGGGUUCGAAUCCCUUCCUCACCGCCA